CUACUUUUGGUGACAAUUUUCGGACUAAAGACCAGUUAACUGGGGACGACUUGUCCAACUGGCGGAAAAAAGCCGUGGCCCCAACCGGGACAAAGCUGUUUUUUGGCCUCAGCUCCACCUGUUAGCCAGGUGUAACGGAGUGAGCAGGUGAGGCCAACGGCCCACAGGUGUGUCCCGGUCUGGACUCUUGAGUCGGGAAAACCAGUUUAACCACCGCUGACCGAGGCUAACACACCGUUAGCACGGAGCUAACAUUAGCAGAGACGGCUAACCCGGCUACGAACCCCGAGCUAAGGCUAACUAGCCGCUUUAGCCGAGCCGGACAGACCCCAGACAGACAGUUCAGCUCGGUGACCAGCAGGAGGAGCCAGAACUCCGCUGACUGACUUCGGGGGACUUCGGGGUAAUGGAGUUCUCUGGUGCCCCCCGACAAUAUAUCAUUGUCCCAUUAAAUAAUUGUCCCAUUUAAUA
Long non-coding RNA from Xiphias gladius (swordfish), 471 nucleotides. RefSeq lists it as uncharacterized. NCBI's taxonomy places the organism in Eukaryota, Metazoa, Chordata, Actinopteri, Istiophoriformes, Xiphiidae. The record is from RefSeq and is a predicted model, not a curated record. The transcript has 3 exons.